RNAcentral lists this ribosomal RNA (503 nucleotides) under Lodderomyces parapsilosis. RNAcentral describes it as "eukaryotic LSU rRNA". The stretch from base 173 to 326 matches the Rfam family "5.8S ribosomal RNA". Lineage: Eukaryota; Fungi; Ascomycota; Pichiomycetes; Serinales; Debaryomycetaceae. The record is from RNAcentral.
GGAACCUGCGGAAGGAUCAUUACAGAAUGAAAAGUGCUUAACUGCAUUUUUUCUUACACAUGUGUUUUUCUUUUUUUGAAAACUUUGCUUUGGUAGGCCUUCUAUAUGGGGCCUGCCAGAGAUUAAACUCAACCAAAUUUUAUUUAAUGUCAACCGAUUAUUUAAUAGUCAAAACUUUCAACAACGGAUCUCUUGGUUCUCGCAUCGAUGAAGAACGCAGCGAAAUGCGAUAAGUAAUAUGAAUUGCAGAUAUUCGUGAAUCAUCGAAUCUUUGAACGCACAUUGCGCCCUUUGGUAUUCCAAAGGGCAUGCCUGUUUGAGCGUCAUUUCUCCCUCAAACCCUCGGGUUUGGUGUUGAGCGAUACGCUGGGUUUGCUUGAAAGAAAGGCGGAGUAUAAACUAAUGGAUAGGUUUUUUCCACUCAUUGGUACAAACUCCAAAACUUCUUCCAAAUUUCGACCUCAAAUCAGGUAGGACUACCCGCUGAACUUAAGCAUAUCAAU